GAUGUCCGGAUAGGUCGAAAGAUUGCAAAGCAACAUUCUAGAACCUAUGAUGUAUGGUUACCGUAUAAUUCAUCUCUUUGACACUAAUGCUCAAGGUGACCUAGGAUUUGAUUGUCAAUCCUAAUAUAGUCCAUCAUAUUAUAUUUCAACCUUUCAAAUCUAUCACAUAGAUUACCUUGGCCAAAAUUUUACUAAAUUGACA
Molecule: long non-coding RNA, 202 nt
Filed under: Elaeis guineensis (African oil palm)
Lineage: Eukaryota; Viridiplantae; Streptophyta; Magnoliopsida; Arecales; Arecaceae
Description: long non-coding RNA (EGUI_LNC056625)
Source: RNAcentral